GGCUUUUUUUUUUUUUUUUUUUUUUUAAGAAUUUAAUGACCCAUUGCUGAAAAAAUUGUCAUGUGGAACCACCCCAAGGAUGCCCGACAGUAUGAGAUUGAAAGUGGCAGAACAUUCAUAGUUACCAAAACAUGUCCAAAAUAAUGUCAUUUAUAUACUCCAUUAACGGUUAAUUGAAAUAAAUGCUAACUGUACCAUACAAAAAUAUUUGGGCUCUGUCAUUUCUGGAAACAUCUGCUAUAUAGCAGUUAUUUGGGAAAUUAAAGCAGCCCACAAUGAAUUGGUUCCUCACGAUAUCUCUGUAUCUCUCUGAUAAGAGAGAUCUCUGCCCAUAGCAAACCGGGAGGUGUAUAACACUCUCAGUGCUUUCCGUUAGAUCUACCUUUAUAGACUUGAAGUAACUUUGUCUCAGGCAACCUUGGUUUAUUCUUAUUAUUUACAGUUCGUGAUGUCACUGAAGUGAGCUCUUUUCCACUGGGAAGAAGAAAUUUCACUGCAAUUCAGACAUGUUCCUAACAUAGCGAUCUACAGCAAAUUCAGAGGUGCCAAGCCCUGCCAGCCCAAGAUUUCAACCAGAGGAAUAACCAUGGUGCAGCAGACGGGCAUCCAGUCUCAGCCCACACCUCCCUGCUGCUUCCCUGCCAGAGGAAGAAGAUCCCCUGGUGAGAUGUUCAUCGCUGCCCUGGGACUCCUAUUCUGACACUCCAACCUCUGGUACGAUCUAAAUGCUGAGAAAGGUAAAAUUCUAGAGAAGUUUUAAAAAAGAAAGAUGGAAGGAUUUAAUAGCUCCUGUACAAGAAAAUAAGAGCAUGCUGGCCAAAAGCCUGCUCUUCUUUUCAGGGAAUUACCAACAGGCAGAUUACAAUGAUCACCUUCUAAAUUGUAGUAUCCAACCACAUUUUCUGUGAAGAUAAUUUUGGAUUCCAGUAAGUAAAAAAAAAAAAAAAAAAAAGUUACUGUUGGUUGUUCCCCCCACUUCCCUCCUCGUCCCUUUUUUCCA
This 1000-nucleotide long non-coding RNA is filed under the name Anas platyrhynchos platyrhynchos (common mallard). Its description in RNAcentral is "lncRNA (ENSAPLG00000023123.1)". Lineage: Eukaryota; Metazoa; Chordata; Aves; Anseriformes; Anatidae. The record is from RNAcentral.